Cercocebus atys (sooty mangabey) is the source of this 213-nucleotide small nucleolar RNA. Its record names the gene U3. It matches the Rfam family "Small nucleolar RNA U3". From Rfam's summary of the family: Small nucleolar RNAs (snoRNAs) are involved in the processing and modification of rRNA in the nucleolus. There are two main classes of snoRNAs: the box C/D class, and the box H/ACA class. The record is from Ensembl. Lineage: Eukaryota; Metazoa; Chordata; Mammalia; Primates; Cercopithecidae.
AAUACUAUACUUUCAGGGAUCCUUUCUUUAAUUCAUUACUAGAGGUUUCUCUGAAUGUGUAGAGCACCAGAAACCACUAGGAGGAAACACAGUGUGCUCUCUCCGGAGUGUGAAGCCAGCCCUUGGUGUUGGUUGGCUGCAACUGCCCUUUACCAUUGACAAUUGUUCUCUUCCUUAGGAAGAAUGAGAGGGAAAGAAGGCAGUCUUUGUGGU